GUUGUCGUCAGCUCGUGUCGUGAGAUGUUGGGUUAAGUCCCGCAACGAGCGCAACCCUUAAGCUUAGUUGCCAUCAUUAAGUUGGGCACUCUAAGUUGACUGCCGGUGACAAACCGGAGGAAGGUGGGGAUGACGUCAAAUCAUCAUGCCCCUUAUGAUUUGGGCUACACACGUGCUACAAUGGACAAUACAAAGGGCAGCGAAACCGCGAGGUCAAGCAAAUCCCAUAAAGUUGUUCUCAGUUCGGAUUGUAGUCUGCAACUCGACUACAUGAAGCUGGAAUCGCUAGUAAUCGUAGAUCAGCAUGCUACGGUGAAUACGUUCCCGGGUCUUGUACACACCGCCCGUCACACCACGAGAGUUUGUAACACCCGAAGCCGGUGGAGUAACCUUUUAGGAGCUAGCCGUCGAAGGUGGGACAAAUGAUUGGG
RNAcentral lists this ribosomal RNA (431 nucleotides) under Staphylococcus aureus. Its description in RNAcentral is "bacterial SSU rRNA". It matches the Rfam family "Bacterial small subunit ribosomal RNA", at positions 1048 to 1479 of the family's 1533-position model. Lineage: Bacteria; Bacillati; Bacillota; Bacilli; Caryophanales; Staphylococcaceae. The record is from RNAcentral.